This 468-nucleotide ribosomal RNA is filed under the name uncultured bacterium. Its description in RNAcentral is "partial 16S ribosomal RNA". It matches the Rfam family "Bacterial small subunit ribosomal RNA", at positions 28 to 507 of the family's 1533-position model. The record is from RNAcentral.
GACGAACGCUGGCGGCGUGCUUAACACAUGCAAGUCGAACGGAAAGGCCCUGCUUUUGCGGGGCGCUCGAGUGCCGAACGGGUGAGUAACACGUGAGUAACCUGCCCUUGACUUUGGGAUAACUUCAGGAAACUGGGGAUCAUACCGGAUAUGAUCUCCUGCUGCAUGGUGGGGGUUAGAAAGUUUCGGCGGUUUGGGAUGGACUCGCGGCUUAUCAGCUUGUUGGUGGGGUAGUGGCUUACCAAGGCUUUGACGGGUAGCCGGCCUGCGAGGGUGACCGGCCACAUUGGGACUGAGGUACGGCCCAGACUCCUACGGGAGGCAGCAGUGGGGAAUAUUGCACAAUGGGCGGAAGCCUGAUGCAGCAACGCCGCGUGCGGGAUGACGGCCUUCGGGUUGUAAACCGCUUUCGCCUGUGACGAAGCGUGAGUGACGGUAAUGGGUAAAGAAGCACCGGCUAACUACGUG